GCCCACUUAGCUCAGUUGGCAGAGCGCGUCCUUGGUAAGGACGAGGUCUCCAGUUCAAUCCUGGAAGUGGGCUCCA
This 76-nucleotide transfer RNA is filed under the name Anaeromyxobacter paludicola. RNAcentral's name for it is "tRNA-Thr". It matches the Rfam family "tRNA". Rfam says of the family: Transfer RNA (tRNA) molecules are approximately 80 nucleotides in length. Their secondary structure includes four short double-helical elements and three loops (D, anti-codon, and T loops). Lineage: Bacteria; Pseudomonadati; Myxococcota; Myxococcia; Myxococcales; Anaeromyxobacteraceae. The record is from RNAcentral.